AUUGAACGCUGGCGGCAUGCCUUACACAUGCAAGUCGAACGGCAGCACGGGUGCUUGCACCUGGUGGCGAGUGGCGAACGGGUGAGUAAUACAUCGGAACAUGUCCUGUAGUGGGGGAUAGCCCGGCGAAAGCCGGAUUAAUACCGCAUACGAUCUACGGAUGAAAGCGGGGGGCCUUCGGGCCUCGCGCUAUAGGGUUGGCCGAUGGCUGAUUAGCUAGUUGGUGGGGGAAAGGCCUACCAAGGCGACGAUCAGUAACCGGUCUGAGCGGACGACCAGCCACACUGGGGCUGAGACACGGCCCAGACUCCUACGGGAGGCCGCAGUGGGGAAUUUUGGACAAUGGGCGAAAGCCUGAUCCAGCAAUGCCGCGUGUGUGAAGAAGGCCUUCGGGUUGUAAAGCACUUUUGUCCGGAAAGAAAUCCUUGGCCCUAAUACGGUCGGGGGAUGACGGUACCGGAAGAAUAAGCACCGGCUAACUACGUG
This 486-nucleotide ribosomal RNA is filed under the name uncultured bacterium. Its description in RNAcentral is "partial 16S ribosomal RNA". It matches the Rfam family "Bacterial small subunit ribosomal RNA", at positions 29 to 507 of the family's 1533-position model. The record is from RNAcentral.